AUUUUGAUCGCAUGAUCGAAAUGGGAAAGACGGAGCAAUCUGUCACUUAUAGAUGGACCUGCGGCGCAUUAGCUAGUUGGUGAGGUAAUGGCUCACCAAGGCGACGAUGCGUAGCCGACCUGAGAGGGUGAUCGGCCACACUGGGACUGAGACACGGCCCAGACUCCUACGGGAGGCAGCAGUAGGGAAUCUUCCGCAAUGGACGAAAGUCUGACGGAGCAACGCCGCGUGAGUGAUGAAGGUUUUCGGAUCGUAAAGCUCUGUUGCCAGGGAAGAACGCUAUGGAGAGUAACUGCUCCAUAGGUGACGGUACCUGAGAAGAAAGCCCCGGCUAACUACGUGCCAGCAGCCGCGGUAAUACGUAGGGGGCAAGCGUUGUCCGGAAUUAUUGGGCGUAAAG
RNAcentral lists this ribosomal RNA (400 nucleotides) under Paenibacillus sp. PO2R2. Its description in RNAcentral is "bacterial SSU rRNA". It matches the Rfam family "Bacterial small subunit ribosomal RNA", at positions 179 to 565 of the family's 1533-position model. Lineage: Bacteria; Bacillati; Bacillota; Bacilli; Caryophanales; Paenibacillaceae. The record is from RNAcentral.